AUUGAACGCUGGCGGCAUGCUUUACACAUGCAAGUCGAACGGUAACAGGCCGCAAGGUGCUGACGAGUGGCGAACGGGUGAGUAAUGCAUCGGAACGUGCCCAGUCGUGGGGGAUAACUACUCGAAAGAGUAGCUAAUACCGCAUACGAUCUAUGGAUGAAAGCGGGGGACCGUAAGGCCUCGCGCGAUUGGAGCGGCCGAUGUCAGAUUAGGUAGUUGGUGGGGUAAAGGCUCACCAAGCCAACGAUCUGUAGCUGGUCCGAGAGGACGACCAGCCACACUGGGACUGAGACACGGCCCAGACUCCUACGGGAGGCAGCAGUGGGGAAUUUUGGACAAUGGGCGCAAGCCUGAUCCAGCAAUGCCGCGUGCAGGAAGAAGGCCUUCGGGUUGUAAACUGCUUUUGUACGGAACGAAACGGCUCUGGUUAAUACCCGGGGCUAACGACGGUACCGUAAGAAUAAGCACCGGCUAACUACGUG
RNAcentral lists this ribosomal RNA (482 nucleotides) under uncultured bacterium. RNAcentral's name for it is "partial 16S ribosomal RNA". It matches the Rfam family "Bacterial small subunit ribosomal RNA", at positions 30 to 507 of the family's 1533-position model. The record is from RNAcentral.